Long non-coding RNA from Salvelinus namaycush (lake trout), 500 nucleotides. RefSeq lists it as uncharacterized. Lineage: Eukaryota; Metazoa; Chordata; Actinopteri; Salmoniformes; Salmonidae. The record is from RefSeq and is a predicted model, not a curated record. The transcript is spliced from 4 exons.
AUGAUGAAACGUCAUUAUAAAUAAGUCAUAUGUUUAAUUUAUUAUGUUUUUACCUGUGCCAAACACCUGGCUCUGUUUUGAACUGCCUAGCCAGCCUGUGAUGCAGCAGAUCAUGUCAGACUCACAGUGACCACCUGACCAGAGACUCGCUGUGGUACUCAUACCUUUGCCCUGCUGCUGCCUAAUCCCUGAGCCAGGCAUUGUGAGUGGGCUGAAACCCUCAUCCCAGCCAUCCAUUCACAGAUAGAGCUAUCUGCCAGUGGUCGCCCCAUCCCCAGCCCCAUGGCCCUGCUGCCCAUAUUGAGCAAACAGGACGAACAAACAGCGGGGAGUGCCUCAGAUAGGUCCCCCUGCCUCCGCCCAGCGCCCAGGACGUGAGCAAACACUCCAGCCUGCAGAACAAAGGGGGAUGAAUAAUCGGAGGGAAAUGUCAACGUUUCAUCAUGGCUGCCCUGGCCCGGAUAUUUUGCCAGUAGCGCUGUGGAACAUCCAGGUGCACU